This 1076-nucleotide long non-coding RNA is filed under the name Anser brachyrhynchus (Pink-footed goose). RNAcentral describes it as "lncRNA (ENSABRG00000001046.1)". The record is from RNAcentral. Lineage: Eukaryota; Metazoa; Chordata; Aves; Anseriformes; Anatidae.
CCUCCCCGAGCCCCGCUGCCUCCCGCCUCCCUCCUCCCCGGCGCCCGCCUCCCCGCGGCGUGCCCGCCUCCCUCCCUCCGUCCCCCGGCCGGCAGCCGGGCAGCGGGCGGGCGCUGCCGCCGGCCCCACAGCACCGCGGCCGGGCUGCGCGGAGCGGAGCGGAGCGGAGCGGGGCUGGCUGGGCGGGGAGGGAGGGAGGGAGGGGAGUGGAUGUGUGUGUGUGUGGAAAGAGCGGGGGGGGGCGAAGGGGGGGAAAUCAAAUAAAUAAAUAAGCUCCCCACCAAUAAGAGAGGCAGCGGCUGGCGAGCAGGCUGGGCUCGGCUGGGAGAGGUCCUCGCUCGGCUGCGUGUUUGUUUGUGUUGUGACCAGAGCCGCGAAGUUCAGAGCCCAAACGUGUUGCUCCGCUCCGCUCCACCUGCUCGGCCGGCGGGGGGGUGCCGCUUCGGCCGCCCCGCCGCCCUCCGGGGCCGAAGGACGGGAGAGGAGCGCGGGGCCGCGCCCGCCGCCCGCCCGCCUUCCCCUCAGCCACCGCCGGGGAGGCGACGGACAGGGAAACGCAGCUGCACACCUCGGGAUUUGUGAGGCCAGGUCGAAAGGCAGGCAAAUUUUGGCGUUUUGUCCGGUGAAAUCCUUUGCCGUCUGUUAGUGGUAUCCUUAGACCGGGCUGAUAAUUGUGCUCGAGGUGCAUGGCACUUGCUGCUUACUGCCUGAGUUUUAUGUCACUUUCCGGCACUUACGCUGAUUAGAAAUAGUCACUGCUCACUGUUGUGAAGACUGGACCGGAGAUAGUGUAGGAACACUCCUCUUGUCAUCCUUUACAAACUAAACAGUGAAUGUAGUCUCUUUUAUAGUAACAGCACACCAGCUUAUGCACUGCUCAGUAACAGUGAUGAAUUAAUCCAUUUCUGCAUGGUUAAACUUUAUUUUCUGAACUCCUUGUUCUCCAAAUCUCUCAUAUCUCUUGCCUAGCUUGAAAUUGUUCCGUGAGAAGCUCAGAUGAUAGCUGCAUAAACCUGUUGCAUUUGGUUUGAAAAGUUUUCUCAGUGUAAUGUGUAAUAAAGUUGGCAAAACAAGCA